CAAUAGCGUAUAUUUAAGUUGUUGCGGUUAAAAAGCUCGUAGUUGGAUUUCGGUUAAGAGCGACCGGUCCGCCGUUUGGUGUGCACUGGUUGGUUUUAACUUCCUGUAGAGGACGUGCUCUGGGUUUAACGACCUGGACUCGGAGUCUACGUGGUUACUUUGAAAAAAUUAGAGUGUUCAAAGCGGGCUUACGCUUGAAUAUUUCAGCAUGGAAUAACACUAUAGGACUCCUGUCCUAUUUCGUUGGUCUCGGGACGGGAGUAAUGAUUAAGAGGAACAGUUGGGGGCAUUCGUAUUUCAUUGUCAGAGGUGAAAUUCUUGGAUUUAUGAAAGACGAACUUCUGCGAANGNAUUUGCNAAGGAUGUUUNCAUUA
RNAcentral lists this ribosomal RNA (374 nucleotides) under uncultured eukaryote. RNAcentral describes it as "partial 18S ribosomal RNA". It matches the Rfam family "Eukaryotic small subunit ribosomal RNA", at positions 592 to 975 of the family's 1831-position model. The record is from RNAcentral.